UACGGAAGGCAGCAGUGGGGAAUAUUGCACAAUGGGCGAAAGCCUGAUGCAGCUAUGCCGCGUGUAUGAAGAAGGCCUUAGGGUUGUAAAGUACUUUCAUCGGGGAGGAAAAACAAAACUAAUAAUUUUAUUUCUUGACGUUACCCGAAAAAGAAGCACCGGCUAACUCCGUGCCAGCAGCCGCGGUAAUACGGAGGGUGCUAGCGUUAAUCAGAAUUACUGGGCGUAAAGAGCACGUAGGUGGUUUUUUUAAGUCAGAUGUGAAAUCCCUGGGCUUAACCUAGGAACUGCAUUUUGAAACUGAAAUACUAGAGUAUCGUAGAGGGAGGUAGAAUUCUAGGUGUAGCGGUGAAAUGCGUAGAUAUCUGGAGGAAUACCUGUGGCGAAAGCGGCCUCCUAAACGAAUACUGACACUGAGGUGCGAAAGCGUGGGGAGCGAAACAGGGAUUAGAU
Molecule: ribosomal RNA, 453 nt
Filed under: uncultured bacterium
Lineage: Bacteria
Description: bacterial SSU rRNA
Rfam family: Bacterial small subunit ribosomal RNA
Source: RNAcentral